GAUGAACGCUGGCGGCGUGCCUAAUACAUGCAAGUUGUGCGGUAACAGAGAGAGCUUGCUCUCUGCUGACGAGCGGCGGACGGCAGAGUAACGCGUAGGAACAUACCCCAAACUGAGGGAUAACUGCUCGAAAGAGUAGCUAAUACCGCAUGUGGUCUUCGGAUUAAAGCUUCGGCGGUUUGGGAGCGGCCUGCGUCCGAUUAGCUAGUUGGUGAGGUAAUUGCUCACCAAGGCGACGAUCGGUAGCUGGUCUGAGAGGAUGAUCAGCCUGACUGGAACUGAGAACGGUCCAGACUCCUACGGGAGGCAGCAGUAGGGAAUUUUCCACAAUGGGCGAAAGCCUGAUGGAGCAACGCCGCGUGCAGGAUGAAUGCCUUCGGGUUGUAAGCUGCUUUUCUGUGUGAAGAAUAUGACGGUAACACAGGAAUAAGGGUCGGCUAACUACGUGCCAGCCGCCGCGGUAA
RNAcentral lists this ribosomal RNA (464 nucleotides) under uncultured bacterium. Its description in RNAcentral is "partial 16S ribosomal RNA". It matches the Rfam family "Bacterial small subunit ribosomal RNA", at positions 28 to 523 of the family's 1533-position model. The record is from RNAcentral.